Molecule: long non-coding RNA, 1657 nt
Filed under: Homo sapiens (human)
Lineage: Eukaryota; Metazoa; Chordata; Mammalia; Primates; Hominidae
Description: HSALNT0236485
Source: RNAcentral
GAGAAAGAUCCAGCAUUUCAAAUCACAGUCAGCGUGGGUCAAAGGAGGGGUAGCGAAGCAAAGAUAUUACAAAAUCUUUCUGCGCUCUGCAAUUUGCUUCAUUUUCUGGAUUCCAAUUUUAGACAUUAUUUCAUCAUAGAAAGCCAGAAGAUAAACCCAAUAAACUCAAGUCCUCUAUUGAUUUUUCCUCCUCUUCAGCAGUCGCUGUAUUUUGACUACAGCGUGGUGAAACGUUUAGCUAAGGAAACAGAAAAACAAGGAACAACCCCCUCCACUCCCGAGGCAAUAAAAUCAUCAUCAAUUCACUGAGACGAAUAAAUUUAUUCUCACCAAAGAACAAGUUAUUAAGGAUCCGCUGCAAGUAUCAGUCGGCCUACCCAGAGGUACAAGCACACCUUGGAGAUACUGCAGGUUCGGUUCUAGACCACUGCAAUUAAGCAACUAUUGCAAUAAAGAGAGUCAGGCAAUUUUUGUUGAUUUUAUAUGGAACCACAAGUAUAUGCUAUGCUGUGUCUGGCUUUUGGUUCAACAUUAUUUGUGAGACUCAUCCAUGUUAUUGUAAAUGUCAGUUGCUUAUUUUCAUUGUUUUUUAAUGUUUCACUGUACAAAUAGAUUGAAAUUGAUUAACCAUUCUUUCUAAUGGAAAUUUGAGUUGUUUCCAGUUUUUUGCGCAUCACACAUCAUAUUACUGUGAACGUUCUCAUAGUGUAUGCUACAGAUGUAACUGGAUGUUUCUGUCAGUCACGUGCCCAGGACUAGAAUUGCUGGUUAUAGGGUACGUAUCUUCUCAAUCUGGGGGAGAAACUCUUUUCCAAAGUGAUUGUUCAAACUUACAUUCCCUCAAGUGGUUCAAGAGAGCUCCAGUUUUCACAUCUUUGUCAGCAUUUAAAGUCUUUUACUUUAGACAGUCUAGUGGCUCUUAUUGUGAUUUUAUGUGCGUUUCCCUGAUUAGCAAUACUUUUGAACAUAUUUUCAUAGUUUAUUGGCCGUUUAAAUAUGCUCUUACAUAAAGGGCUGUUCAAAUAUUUUGCCUAGUUUUCUAUUAUUUUUUCUCUUAUGUAUCUGUAGCUGUUCUAAGCAUAUUUUAUAUUAGUCAUUUGUCAGUUGUAUGUGUGGAGAAUAUCUUUUUGCACAUUGGUUUGCCUUUUUACCCUCUUAAUGAUGUCAUUUGACAAAUAAUGUUCUUAAUGUUAAUGUAGUCCAAUUUAUCAAUCAUUUCUUUUAAGUUAAGUGUCUUUGUGUCCUGGUUGAGAACCCUUUGUUUACCCCAAGGUUAUAAAGACAGUUUCCUUUGUUGUCCCCUAGAAGCUUUUCUGUUUUACCUUUCAUAUUUAAAUCUAUAAUCCAGCUUGAAUUAAUUCUGUGUAUUGUGUGAGGUAAGGUACAGAUCAACAUUCAUUUUUACCAUAUGGAUAUUCAGUCAUUGCCCUAUCAGUAGUUAAUGAGAAGACUGUCCUUUUCCCACUGUUGGGCAGUGCCAUCUUUGCCAUUAACCAAUCACGUGUGUACACACAUACACACAUAUAUGUGAGUCAUUUUGUGAGUUCUUUAUUUGUGCCUUGUGCAAAUACAAUACUAUCUUAAUUACUGUAGCUUUCUAAAAAAUUAAUUAAUUAAUUAAUUUGACAUCAGACAGUGAUUGUCUUGGAUGUUUUCA